GAACGCACAUUGCGCCCCUUGGUAUUCCGGGGGGCUUGCCUGUUCGAGCGUCAUUAUAACCCUCAAGCCUAGCUUGGUGUUGGAGCAUGCUAUCUAGCAGCUCUUAAAAUCAGUGGCAGUGCCUUCCGGCUCUAAGCGUAGUAAUUCUUCUCGCUAUGGAAACCGGUUGGUCCGCGCCAGAACCCCCAAUUUUCUAUGGUUGACCUCGGAUCAGGUAGGGAUACCCGCUGAACUUAAG
This 238-nucleotide unclassified non-coding RNA is filed under the name uncultured Cistella. RNAcentral's name for it is "sequence contains 5.8S rRNA gene". Lineage: Eukaryota; Fungi; Ascomycota; Leotiomycetes; Helotiales; Hyaloscyphaceae. The record is from RNAcentral.